UGCCGUGGGGCCCUGCCUGCCUGCCGGGCUUGUGGGUCACGCCAGGGACGGCCUCAGCGCCCCCAGCUGUGCCAGUAAAGCCCACAGCAGCCAAGGCUGAGCCAGGAGCACUGCUCCUGCAGAGGACAAUUCCUCUGCCCUGGUUGAGCCUUCCCAGCCCGAGCUGGUGCAGGCAGAGCUGGCUGCCCACGCCUCGGCUGCUGGUGAAUGCCAGGGUGGAACUGGUGGAUUCUCACACAGCAUCUCCCAGCAGUGCAGUGAGGGGAGGUGGUGAGGAUGCAGCUUUGGUAGGACUUGUGGGGCCAUGCACCUAAAACUGCCAACCCUGCCCUGGGCUGAUCCCCAGCAGGGUGGGCACAGGGGCAGGGAGGGGAUUCUGCCCCUCUGCUGUGCCUGCUGAGACCCCCCUGCAGUGCUGGGGCAGCUCUGGAGCCCUCAGCACAGCACAGACAGGGACCUGCUGCAGCAGGGCCAGAGGAGGCCACGGCAGGGCUGGCAGGGCUCUGCUGGCAGCCCAGGCUGGCAGAGGUGGCCUCGGGCAGCCUGCAGCAGGGAAGGCUCCAGGGACACAUUCAUAGAAUCAUUGGGUUGCAGAAGUCCUUUAAGAUCACUGAGUCCAACCCUUCUCUGACUCCACCAAGGCUGAGGCUGAACCAGGGCCCUCAGCGCCACAUCUCUGCCUCUUACAGACACCUCCCUCAGCAGCCUGGGCCAGGCCUUGGCAACCCUUUCAGUGAAGAGGUUGUUCCUCAUGGCCACCCUGAACCUACCCUGGGGCAACUUGAGGCCUUUUCUCUUGUCCUCUCUCUUGUUGCCAGGGAGAAGAGCCCAACCCCAGCUGGCUCCAGCCUUCUCUUAGGAAGCUGUAGAGAGCAAUGAGGUCUCCCCUCAGCCUCUGCCAUGCUUCUUUAAUCUGCUUUCCUAUGCCAGUGGCUGGCACUAAAUCAACAUCUGAGUGCCUGCUGCCUCACAACUGCUGAUUAGGAGCUCAGGGGGAGCAUGCCAAGCUCUGGCUGCUGCUGCUGCUCCAUGUGGUUCUGGCUCAGUUUCGUCCUUACCCAGAUGGUAAAAAUGUGCCUGGAGCCAGAGCCCUGACAGUGCCCUGACAGGCAGCCAACCUGGAGUCAUGGAACUGUUGGCUUGGAAAAGAGCUGGAAGAUCAUCGAGUCCAUCCAUCAUCUAACUCUGCCAAGACUGGGGCUGAGCCAGCUCCCCCAGCAGCACAUCUCCAGGGAUGGAGACUCCUCCACUGCCCUGGGCAGCCAGGCCCAGGCCUUGGCAACACUUUGGAGGAAGAAAUUGUUCCUCAUGGCCAAUGUAAACCUCCUUGGGGCAACCUGA
Pogoniulus pusillus (Red-fronted tinkerbird) is the source of this 1341-nucleotide long non-coding RNA. RefSeq lists it as uncharacterized. NCBI's taxonomy places the organism in Eukaryota, Metazoa, Chordata, Aves, Piciformes, Lybiidae. The transcript has 2 exons. The record is from RefSeq and is a predicted model, not a curated record.